This 155-nucleotide small nuclear RNA is filed under the name Sphenodon punctatus (tuatara). Its description in RNAcentral is "U1 spliceosomal RNA (ENSSPUG00000001179.1)". It matches the Rfam family "U1 spliceosomal RNA". Rfam says of the family: U1 is a small nuclear RNA (snRNA) component of the spliceosome (involved in pre-mRNA splicing). Its 5' end forms complementary base pairs with the 5' splice junction, thus defining the 5' donor site of an intron. The record is from RNAcentral. Lineage: Eukaryota; Metazoa; Chordata; Lepidosauria; Sphenodontia; Sphenodontidae.
AAUCUUACCUAGAGGGGUGCUAUUCUGCACAAUUGUGCAGGUGGGGCUCCUAGGUCAGGCUCAUCUAUUGCACUCCAGCUGUGCAGUCCUGUAACUCUUCUCAAAUGCAGGAAACUCAACUUCAUAAUGUGGUAGAAAAAUCCAUCCAUGAGACA